Molecule: ribosomal RNA, 631 nt
Filed under: uncultured Bacteroidales bacterium
Lineage: Bacteria; Pseudomonadati; Bacteroidota; Bacteroidia; Bacteroidales
Description: bacterial SSU rRNA
Rfam family: Bacterial small subunit ribosomal RNA
Source: RNAcentral
UGGUGGCGACCGGCGCACGGGUGAGUAACGCGUAUGCAACCCACUUAUCAGAGGGGAAUAACCCGGCGAAAGUCGGACUAAUACCGCAUAAAACAGGGACACCGCAUGGUGAUAUUUGUUAAAGAAAUUCGCUGAUAGAUGGGCAUGCGUUCCAUUAGGUAGUUGGUGAGGUAACGGCUCACCAAGCCGACGAUGGAUAGGGGAACUGAGAGGUUGGUCCCCCACACUGGUACUGAGACACGGACCAGACUCCUACGGGAGGCAGCAGUGAGGAAUAUUGGUCAAUGGGCGAGAGCCUGAACCAGCCAAGUCGCGUGAAGGAAGAAGGAUCUAUGGUUCGUAAACUUCUUUUGCAGGGGAAUAAAGUGCAGGACGUGUCCUGUUUUGUAUGUACCCUGAGAAUAAGGAUCGGCUAACUCCGUGCCAGCAGCCGCGGUAAUACGGAGGAUCCGAGCGUUAUCCGGAUUUAUUGGGUUUAAAGGGUGCGUAGGUGGUUUGAUAAGUCAGCGGUGAAAGUUUGCAGCUUAACUGUAAAAAUGCUGUUGAAACUGUCGGACUUGAGUGUAAAUGAGGUAGGCGGAAUGCGUGGUGUAGCGGUGAAAUGCUUAGAUAUCACGAAGAACUCCGAUUG